RNAcentral lists this non-coding RNA (456 nucleotides) under uncultured Prevotella sp. The record is from RNAcentral. Lineage: Bacteria; Pseudomonadati; Bacteroidota; Bacteroidia; Bacteroidales; Prevotellaceae.
CCAGUAAAUCGGCCUCGCCGAAAUACUCACCGUCGCCUAACAGGGCUAUCCUCAAAUCCUCACCGUGAGGACCUUUGCUGAUGACCUCAGCCUGUCCGCUGGCCACGAUGAAGAAGCGCUGCUUGUCCUUGCCCUCCUCCACGAAGAACUUAUCCACAUCGACCUCUUUGGCCUCGAACGAACUGACCAAACGGUUCAGUAUCUCGUCGUCAAAUUCGGAGAACAGGGGGAUAGCCUUGAGGUCCUUCGCCGUAAACGAUGGUACGCCAUUGACAUACUGGAUGGGAAGACGGUCGUUCUUACGAAGUUCAACCUUCGUACGGUUCACGCGGAACGUGCCGCCGCUGACUUGUACCCAGGGUAAUAACUUCAGAAGUAAUCUCGGGGUUAUCGAGCCCAUCUGCGGGGCGGUCUUGGUGGUGGUUGCCAGUCUUCUGGCUGUUGCUGUAGUUACAC